Long non-coding RNA from Falco peregrinus (peregrine falcon), 1314 nucleotides. RefSeq lists it as uncharacterized. The transcript is spliced from 3 exons. The record is from RefSeq and is a predicted model, not a curated record. Lineage: Eukaryota; Metazoa; Chordata; Aves; Falconiformes; Falconidae.
UUGAUAAAGGAGCAGUAGCGCAUGUCAGUAGUUGCUUAUUGCCUUCCUCCUACGCCAGGCAGUGGGUCAGUCUGACUGUCAUAACCCCAUUCAGCUCUGACCUUCUGUUUCUGUAGGCCUUUGAUAAACCUCCAACAAUUAACACCACACAACUGCAACACUUCACCACUGAGGCAGGCCAGCAGUGCAGCAGGUUGCCCAGAGAGGUUGUGCAGUCUCCAUCCCUGGAAAUUUUCAAAGCCCGACUGGGUAAGGCCCCGAGCAACCAACUCGGACCCCACAGCUGUCCCUGCUCUGAGCAGCAGGUCAUAUUUUUGGAACUGCUUCUUAUGCUGGCAUGAUUCCCAAAGGACAGAGGAGUGAACAUCCUACUCUGAAGGAGGCCAACCCCUAUUUAUCUCUUAGGAUGUUCUGCUGAGGCACAGGAAAACAGGUGUACCUCGCAGGAGGACCUCUGCUCCGGCUGCUGGGAUUCGCACAAGGCUCUCCUUGAUGAGGACUGGUGUGUGGCUGGAAGUGGUACAAAAUUUCUUCCAAGGUAAAUUCAAAGAUACUAACUGCACUUAUGGAGCAAGUUACAUUCACAUGUGCACCACCAUGUUUCGAAUACGGUUUAAACAAAAAUCUUAUGUGAACAGAAAGAAAAGUUUGUAUGUUAACAUGUUCUAAUGCUCCAAAGUUUGAUUCUUAAACUGAUCGGCAGCUUCUUGGGUUUUGCUCUUUGCAUACAGGAUUUUCCACGUACCCCAGUAAAUGUAAAUAAUAAAACUUAUCAUGGCUGAAAAAACUGCUCCACAGCUGCUAGCCAUAAAUGCCUGUGUGUACACACAGUCACACAAACCACCAGAGUGAAAUAAUGGUGCCUGUUAAUUCGUUAAAUAUAGCAUUACAUAUUUGAGGGGCCAGGUAGAAUCCGGACCAAGAAUGCAGAUGAUGUGAAGAAGGAAUUUACACAUUUCAAUGCCUUUUUUUGUCCUGAGAGCUGGAGUUUGCCCAGGAUGUGAAUCCCCAGGGACUUGUUGGGCUUUGAGUUUGCUGAGGAUUUGCGAGCAAAAAUCAAUGUAGCGUCUGUGCUCUCAAAGAUACGUUUCAUGUUUGUUAAGAAAUGUGCUUGCCGGAGGCUCCAUCCCAACAGCCGGUGAAGAUAAUGAUUAUGGGUUUGGGUUGGGUUUUUUGGGGUUUGGUUUGGGUUUGGGCUUGUUGGUUUUUGUUUUUUUUUUUUGAAAGCAUGGAAAAAAUUAAAGAUCUGCUUAAAGAGGUCUUUAUCGACCCCGCAAGAUGAGUUUCCAGCCUGCACCCCCCCUGGCGUGCCCC